GAGAAGAAAGAACCGGAACCUGUGCCACCUAAAAAGGUAGUCAAGGAGAAGAAAGAACCGGAACCUGUGCCACCUAAAAAGGUAGUCAAGGAGAAGAAAGAACCGGAACCUGUGCCACCUAAGAAGGAAGAACCGGAACCUGUGCCACCAAAAAAGGAUGUCAAGGAAAAGGAAGAACCGAAACCUGUGCCACC
RNAcentral lists this long non-coding RNA (194 nucleotides) under Penaeus japonicus. Its description in RNAcentral is "uncharacterized LOC122262552". The record is from RNAcentral. Lineage: Eukaryota; Metazoa; Arthropoda; Malacostraca; Decapoda; Penaeidae.